UUUAUUAGAUCAAAACCAACCUGCUUCGGCAGAAGGUUUGAUGACUCUGGAUAAUUGUUCCUGAUCGCAGUGCCUUGCGCAAGCGACAUAUCUUUCAAGUGUCUUACCUAUCAACUAUCGAUGGUGAGUUAUUUGCUCACCAUGGUUAUAACGGGUAACGGGGAAUCAGGGUUCGAUUCCGGAGAGGGAGCCUUAGAAACGGCUACCACAUCCACGGAAGGCAGCAGGCGCGAAAAUUACCCAAUCUCGGAACGAGGAGGUAGUGACGAAAAAUAACAAUAUGACUUCUUACGAAGUUGUGAUUGGAAUGAGAGAAAUGUAACAACUUUCAUUCGAGGAUCUAGUGGAGGGCGAGUCUGGUGCCAGCAGCCGCGGUAAUACCAGCAUCCACAAGCGUAUGCAAAAGUUGCUGCGUUUAAAAAGCUCGUAGUUGGAUCUGUUAUUGGUGUUGCACUUACCCGCCUGGUCCGUUUGGUUGUGCGGGGCGACAUUGAUAUCUUCCCGGUUGAAGGUGUUUGCUCUUAAUUGAGUCGAGUACCCGGGCCGGGCUAUUAAUUUGAGUAAAUUGGAGUGCUC
RNAcentral lists this ribosomal RNA (576 nucleotides) under uncultured eukaryote. Its description in RNAcentral is "bacterial SSU rRNA". It matches the Rfam family "Eukaryotic small subunit ribosomal RNA", at positions 203 to 776 of the family's 1831-position model. The record is from RNAcentral.